RNAcentral lists this ribosomal RNA (446 nucleotides) under uncultured bacterium. RNAcentral's name for it is "partial 16S ribosomal RNA". It matches the Rfam family "Bacterial small subunit ribosomal RNA", at positions 338 to 795 of the family's 1533-position model. The record is from RNAcentral.
CCUACGGGAGGCUGCAGUCGAGAAUCAUUCACAAUGGGCGAAAGUCUGACGCUGCGACGCCGCGUGGGGGAAUGAAGGUCUUCGGAUUGUAAACCCCUGUCAUGUGGGAGCAAAUUAAAAAGAUAGUAUCACAAGAGGAAGAGACGGCUAACUCUGAGCCAGCAGCCGCGGUAAUACAGAGGUCUCAAGCGUUGUUCGGAAUCACUGGGCGUAAAGCGUGCGUAGGCUGUUUGGUAAGUCGUGUGUGAAAGGCGCGGGCUCAACCCGCGGACGGCACAUGAUACUGCGAGCCUUGAGUGAUGGAGAGGGAACCGGAAUUCUCGGUGUAGCAGUGAAAUGCGUAGAUAUCGAGAAGAACACUCGUGGCGAAGGCGGGUUCCUGGACAUUAACUGACGCUGAGGCACGAAGGCGAGGGGAGCGAACGGGAUUAGAUACCCUGGUAGUC